Molecule: long non-coding RNA, 1027 nt
Organism: Phascolarctos cinereus (koala)
Lineage: Eukaryota; Metazoa; Chordata; Mammalia; Diprotodontia; Phascolarctidae
Source: Ensembl
CAAUAGGCAACUGGAGGGAGUAUGACCACGGAUCUCAUUGGCUGCCAAUCUCCGUGCAUAAGGAAGAGAGAGGGAGGCAGCCAGGGCAGCAUUGUUAUCUUAAGACACUCAUCUGGUGCCUGAGUCUGCAGGUGACACUGCUUAGGUACGGAGUACCGAGUCAGAAUAUAGAACACAGGGCUACAGACCGCCUUUGACUCAAAACGCUGAGAAGAACCGGCCCCUCCUUUAGUUGUUCCUCGAGCAGGGGGGGACCUCUCUACUAGUUAACCCACCUAUGUGGGUGCACCUGCUGUGUGUAGAGAAGGCAGGAACAAAUCAGCUAGCAGCAUGAUCUCGGCUGAAAGACUGUGGACUUGCCUUUCUCCAAGUGAAAAGCAGUGAUUGGGAGGACAAGGAGUGCGAGUCUUUUUUAGAGUUGGAAAAGAAAAUUAGGUCCUGGAUUUCUCCUCUGCAGAGGGACCUGGGACUCCCCAAGGGGCUGGCUCUGGGCUGUCCUUGCUUUUUCCGUCCUGUCUUCGCCCUCCUGAUCCAAUCCAGAAGCACUCCUUAACCAUGCUUUGGGUUACCGGAGUUCUUGGUGUUCGGCUGGAAGAGAACAGGCGAGAGGUAUAGCCGCUCCAGCAGCAAAGGGAAGACAGCAUUUGGAAGGGGUAUCCGUGCUCUCUCCCAUUCUGAAAGGAAGGCAUUCGCAUUCCCUCCAAAUAUGGGGAGAGGGGGGAAGCACGUGAAAUCAUGAAAUAAAAACUUUGGAAAGCUGCCACUGGAGAUGUGGUCGGUGCUGAAAAAACCCUGGAAUCUGUUAGGAAUCUCCUCUCAGACGCUCUGGGGCUUGGGAGCAGCUGAUACAGCAAGGAAGUCUCUUGCAAGGAUUCAAGCUUUCUCCUGUCCUGUUCUGAGCCGGGCUGAAGGCUUCCUGGUUUGAACUAGCUCUAGUCCUUUUACCGCUGCUGCUCCAUGGGCAGCCAGAUCCCUGGGCAUUCUUCCUGACCUGUUAUUAUUGCCUGGGGUAAGUCUUCAAAGUUAG